GGAAGGGGCGGAGCGGCCUGGGAUGAUGAGGCUCCAUUUUUAGCCGCCAUUUCGGAAAAAGCCGCCUGCCUAUAAAGGAAAGACAAUGAAGAAGAGAGAUCUACGUGGGAGAAUUGCUGUGAAGAUUGAUGAGAGGAGGAUAGAGUGAAAGAACUUCUGUUUUUGCACAGGGCUUUGCAUGUACGUAUUGCCAAAGCUGCAAGAUAAAAGCCUUCCUGGUUGUGGAAAGAAACCUCUGCUGUCCUUACCUGUUUGCUGUUCUAAUCAGGAAGCCAAGUUUCAGCAUUCAUCUUUAGAGAAGAAUUAUUCAGAUAAUGUCUUUGAAAUGCAACUGUGAGCCUAUUAUAAACACUGGCAAGCUGCUGCCCAUGGCUAGAUGACUGCCUGGGAACAACUAGAUUGUUUCUGUCUGGAAGACAAAACUAAGAAAUGGGUUUGUGGAGGAUUCAAAUCUGGAAUGAUAUUGGCUCACACUUACAGUAUUCCCAGAGAAAAAACAUUCUGUCCACAUACCCAGGACUACCUCUUCCCUGGUCCAGGAAUUCAUAGACAUGUUUUCCAUUCUACUCCUAAGUACAGUAUAUAUCUUUUUUGCACACACUCCUGAACUGAAUUCGCAGUUUUCCCAUUACAAUUGUAUCAAAUAAAUCUUCUGCUAGUUUUCCAGAAUUUAGAUCAAUGUCAAUAUUGGCUGGGGAAUUUUUGGAGUUGUCAUUAAAAAAAAAAAAAGGUUUCUUCAAGUUCUGGUGCUCAUAAAGCGUCAUUUAGCAUAUCUGUAGCUUUGUGAAAUAGAGAACAUACAUAGUGGGGUUGUUUCUAGCCAGAGAAGACAGACCUCAAGGAAUCAAAGGAAACAGAAAGUGAAAAAGUAGAGGUGGAACAAAAGAAGCAGUAAGAAUGUGAUAUCCCUUGCGGAAAAUUUAGAACACACAUGGGCAAACUUUGGCCUUCCAAGUUUGCCCAUGCAUGAUUUAGAAUUUGCGAUUGGUGCAAUGAUUUAGGUCCAUUUCUUCUGCCAGUCUAAUUCAAUGAGCUGAAUAUUACCUAUGUGACUGCUAACUGGAUUUGGAUCAGGAUACUUGGAGGACUGUUUCCUCUCACAUAAAGCUAUGCUUCAUAUAUACUAAUAUUUGGUUGCCUUGUCAGAUGCCAAGAAAUAUGCUGUAGGCAGUAACAUGAGAUAGGGCAUUUUAGUGGUACCAUUAGAGCUGUAGUGCAAUUGGCUUCUUGAUGGAUUUUAGGGAGGC
Non-coding RNA from Anolis sagrei ordinatus, 1247 nucleotides. The record is from RefSeq and is a predicted model, not a curated record. NCBI's taxonomy places the organism in Eukaryota, Metazoa, Chordata, Lepidosauria, Squamata, Anolidae.